UACGGAGGGGGCUAGCGUUAUUCGGAAUUACUGGGCGUAAAGCGCACGUAGGCGGCUUUGUAAGUCAGAGGUGAAAGCCUGGAGCUCAACUCCAGAACUGCCUUUGAGACUGCAUCGCUUGAAUCCAGGAGAGGUGAGUGGAAUUCCGAGUGUAGAGGUGAAAUUCGUAGAUAUUCGGAAGAACAUCAGUGGCGAAGGCGGCUCAC
This 206-nucleotide ribosomal RNA is filed under the name uncultured Sphingomonadales bacterium. RNAcentral describes it as "partial 16S ribosomal RNA". It matches the Rfam family "Bacterial small subunit ribosomal RNA", at positions 524 to 729 of the family's 1533-position model. The record is from RNAcentral. Lineage: Bacteria; Pseudomonadati; Pseudomonadota; Alphaproteobacteria; Sphingomonadales.